ACCACCCCUUCGGGGGCGGAUGGUGGAACCAGCGGCGGACGGGUGAGUAACACGUGGGCAACCUGCCUGCAAGACCGGGAUACUGCGGGAAACCGGAGCUAAUACCGGAUAAGAGGCUUUUCCGCAUGGGGGAGCCUUAAAAGGCGGCGGAAGUCGUCACUUGCAGAUGGGCCCGCGGCGCAUUAGCUAGUUGGUGAGGGAGGGCUCACCAAGGCGACGAUGCGUAGCCGACCUGAGAGGGUGACCGGCCACACUGGGACUGAGACACGGCCCAGACUCCUACGGGAGGCAGCAGUAGGGAAUUUUCGGCAAUGGGGGGAACCCUGACCGAGCAACGCCGCGUGAGCGAGGACGGCCUUCGGGUUGUAAUGCUCUGUCAUGUGGGAAGAACGGCUAGGAGAGGGCAUGCUCUUAGCGUGACGGUACCACAGGAGGAAGCCCCGGCUAACUACGUGCCAGCAGCCGCGGUAACACGUAGGGGGCGAGCGUUGUCCCGGAAUUAUUGGGCGUAAAGGGCGCGCAGGCGGUCUCUUAAGUCUGAUGUGAAAGGCCAC
RNAcentral lists this ribosomal RNA (554 nucleotides) under uncultured Thermoactinomycetaceae bacterium. RNAcentral describes it as "bacterial SSU rRNA". It matches the Rfam family "Bacterial small subunit ribosomal RNA", at positions 71 to 605 of the family's 1533-position model. The record is from RNAcentral. Lineage: Bacteria; Bacillati; Bacillota; Bacilli; Caryophanales; Thermoactinomycetaceae.